CCUACGGGUGGCAGCAGUGGGGAAUAUUGGGCAAUGGGCGCAAGCCUGACCCAGCAACGCCGCGUGAGGGAAGAAGGCUUUCGGGUUGUAAACCUCUUUUCUCAGGGAAGAAGAAAGUGACGGUACCUGAGGAAUAAGCCACGGCUAACUACGCGCCAGCAGCCGCGGUAAUACGUAGGUGGCAAGCGUUAUCCGGCUUUACUGGGGGUAAAGGGCGUGUAGGCGGGACUGCAAGUCAGAUGUGAAAACCACGGGCUCAACCUGUGGCCUGCAUUUGAAACUGUAGUUCUUGAGUACUGGAGAGGCAGACGGAAUUCCUGGUGUAGCGGUGAAAUGCGUAGAUAUUAGGAGGAACACCAGUGGCGAAGGCGGUCUGCUGGACAGCAACUGACGCUGAGGCGCGAAAGCGUGGGGAGCAAACAGGAUUAGAUACCCCGGUAGUC
This 443-nucleotide ribosomal RNA is filed under the name uncultured bacterium. RNAcentral's name for it is "partial 16S ribosomal RNA". It matches the Rfam family "Bacterial small subunit ribosomal RNA", at positions 338 to 795 of the family's 1533-position model. The record is from RNAcentral.